CCUACGGGGGGCAGCAGUGGGGAAUCUUGCACAAUGGGGGAAACCCUGAUGCAGCAACGCCGCGUGAGUGAAGAAGUAUUUCGGUAUGUAAAGCUCUAUUAGCAGGGAAGAAGAUGACGGUACCUGAGUAUGCAGCCCCGGCCAACGACUAGCCAGCAGCCGCGGUCAUACGUAGGGGGCGAGCGUUAGCCGGAUUUACUGGGGGUAACGGGAGCGUAGACGGUGGGACAAGUCUGAAGUGAAAGCCCUGGGCUCAACCCCGGGACUGCAUUGGAAACUGGCUGACUGGAGUGCUGGAGAGGAAAGCGGAAUUCCUAGUGUAGCGGUGAAAUGCGUAGAGAUUAGGAAGAACACCAGUGGCGAAGGCGGCUUGCUGGACAGUAACUGACGUUGAGGCGCGAAAGCGUGGGGAGCAAACAGGAUUAGAUACCCGGGUAGUC
RNAcentral lists this ribosomal RNA (440 nucleotides) under uncultured bacterium. Its description in RNAcentral is "partial 16S ribosomal RNA". It matches the Rfam family "Bacterial small subunit ribosomal RNA", at positions 338 to 795 of the family's 1533-position model. The record is from RNAcentral.